Molecule: long non-coding RNA, 1398 nt
Organism: Sapajus apella (tufted capuchin)
Lineage: Eukaryota; Metazoa; Chordata; Mammalia; Primates; Cebidae
Exons: 2
Source: RefSeq, a predicted model, not a curated record
CCUGGGCGCCAAAGUGAGACUGUCUCAAAAAAAAAAAAAUAUUGGUGACAGGUCUCAGAGGGUCCUUAAGUCCUUUAGCAUGGCACCAGUCAAGGUUUCUUUCCAGGUGGUUCUUAAUUGAUUGGUCAGUACCUGUAGGGUACCAUACAAUGUUUUAACCUGGAAAGCCUCUAUUUUAUAGCUAGAAAUAAGUGCCCUAUUUAUGGGCACCCAUAGCACCUGUGAACACCUGUGCUACACUAUUUGUGACAUUAUAUUUUAAUAUCAUGUAUCUGUCAGUAUGGGGCUGCCAUUUUAUUCAUCACCAAGGUCUCAACAUUGAGCACAGUGUAUUGCAUGUGACUGACACUCAAUAAACAAUGUUCAGUGACCUAACCUGCAUGAUUUCUAUGGACUUUCCAAACACCCAGGCUAUUUGAUAAAUUUUGAGGGUUAAAAUAUAAAAUUUAGCCCUUCUGACAGUUCUCAGGUCUGCAGCCAGUUUAGCUCUACGUGGUUAGGAACUGGGUCCCACAUUUUUGUGUUGGUGUUGGCUCCACAGAAUCAUACACUUAGGUCUUUGGAGCACUUCCUGAUAUGUCACAGGAGUUAUCAGUGUCUUCAGAUCAUCUCAGAGAUUCCACAUAUGAUGCAGUGAAAUCAGGAGAGAAGAGAUGUGUAACCUCCUUAUCACUGAUCUCCAGUUUCAUUGGCAGGACAUGUAGAAAGAGCCUGGAAUUUGAGAAUAGAACUCUGGUUAACAGUUAUACUAAAUAUAAUAAAAAACUACAAUUUAUUUUGGGAAAGCUCAUUGAAAGAGAAAUAAGAAAAAAAAUCUUCUUUUAAUGUAAACCAUCUUGAGAUAUUUAUAGUUUUUCAUUCUGUCCCCACAUGUUUUGCCUUCUUCUUUGAUUAACUAAACUAUGAGUACCACAGAUACUCAUUUUUGAAAUUUGCUUUCAUUAAUUCCUCUCCAUCUUUUUUUUUUUUUUUUUUAAAGGUAUCCAAGUUUCUAUCAGUUUGGCAAAAAUACUUGGCAACAUUUACUGGGAUUUUUGAACAUCCCACAUCCAGUUCUGUGUUAGGGAUUUAGGGAUUUCAUAGCUAUUAUCCUAUUUAAUCCUCAUCUAUAAGAUGCAGGCAGUGAAAAUGUGAAGAUCUGAGUGGUGUGAAAUGAAGUCACUUUCAGAGAAAACGUUUUGCUGAAAUUGAGGGUGAGCUACAUGUGCCUAAGUCAUACAUAGAAAGUAGAAGACCUGUCCAGGGGACACACAGCCCCGCAAUGUCCCCCCACCACCCAAAAAGGCAACUGGAAGAUGAGAGAAGAAUGCAAAGUGCGUGGAAUCAGCUAUGUACAUAGUGACUAUAAGUCACAACACUGUGUUUUGGGGCUACAGUCAUAAAGAUCAAGAUAGAAAA